UACGUAGGGUGCGAGCGUUGUCCGGAAUUACUGGGUGUAAGGAGCUCGUAGGUGGUUUGUCGCGUUGUUCGUGAAAACCGGGGGCUUAACCCUCGGCGUGCGGGCGAUACGGGCAGACUUGAGUACUGCAGGGGAGACUGGAAUUCCUGGUGUAGCGGUGGAAUGCGCAGAUAUCAGGAGGAACACCGGUGGCGAAGGCGGGUCUCUGGGCAGUAACUGACGCUGAGGAGCGAAAGCGUGGGGAGCGAACAGG
This 253-nucleotide ribosomal RNA is filed under the name uncultured bacterium. RNAcentral describes it as "partial 16S ribosomal RNA". It matches the Rfam family "Bacterial small subunit ribosomal RNA", at positions 524 to 776 of the family's 1533-position model. The record is from RNAcentral.